UGACUGAUGAAGCCGAGCUGUUGAUUACCUGGCUUCUGUAAAGGCACGGUUACUGUACUGGUGUUAGCUUAUGCUUGUACAAUAAAGCUUACAAAAGGCAGCAAUCAGAUGUCCGAGCCUGAGUACGACACAGUUUCAUCAGUUAAAACACACCCUUACGGUGGGAGUUUACUAAAUUAAAGGUAGUUAGCUUAGUAAAAACCGUACAGUAAUCAACACUUAGCCAGUCCCCGCGACGGAGAAGCGGAGGAGGGUCUGUGUCGACUACGGAGAAUCCAGCGAUUAGACGGAGCCCGGCCGAUCGACGUGACUUCGUUCUCAAAACACCGUUAAGCCCUCUUACGUGAGAGACUGUGUGUGGAUUUCUUUGCUGUGACUAUUAGGGCGCUGGCAUAGGAUAAGCCAGCCGCCGAAAACGAACUUUUAAUUCAGUUACUAGCCGCUAAGCGACCGGAAGUGGGUCGCCGCCAUCUUUGUUGAGGGCAAAGGAAUAACGCCGGUAAUAAACGAGGAGAAAAGUCAGUAUGGCAUGCCGAGAAGAAUUAAAGAAAAGGCGGUCCUCUGUGCAAGCAGUUUUUACUAGGAAGGCCAAUUCCAUUGUUUUUAACAUUGAUCUUCUGACUGAACAUGACCUCAUGUCUGAAUGUAGGACACUCAAAGACAGUUAUAAUGAGGUUUGUGAUGGCAGCUUUGAUUACAUUGCUGCUAUGGAAGAAGAAGAUGCAAGUGGGUUUGCAGCAGAAAUAGCUGAAGUGGAGAAGAAGCUGCAGGACUGCCGCUCAAAAUACCAGACCACAGAAAUGAAACUAAAGGAAGCAUCAUGGUCCCGUUGUGCAUCAGGUCAGUUUGACAGUCUAAGAGUUGACCUAAAAGAUGCGAUUAGCCAGGUGGAGGCGCUCAAAACAGGUCAAACAAAACAGGAUCAGUUUGAUUCAAUGCUUACUGCUGUGGAAGGCAGAGAGGAAGCUCUAAGUGAGUUUGUGCUUAAGUGGGAUCGUUAUGUUCCAGAGAGAGAGGUGAAUGUUAUGCGAGCUUGUCUCAAAGAGCUCAAGGAAAGGAGGAGAGUAGCUAUGGUGGUGCUGGCUACCGUCCUGGAUGGAAGAAAGAGAUCCGGGUGUGGCGACCUUAGGAGCCGGACUAGCAGUGAAGGUGAAGGCAGUGAUGAAGGUGGCGCUGACGGUGGAGUGACGACCAGCACUAGCAAGCCCAAUGGGCCCGCCGCGACCGGUGGAGAUGAUGGCCCAGCGCGUGGCGAUGGUGCGCUAGAUGCUGACGUGAACCCUGCUGCAUACCAAAGUGCUGCGGUGGACAGUAGUAACCAAGUCGUUGAUGCAGGUGGUCCCAAUGGAGCGCGAGUUGCAAGUCCUUCCACUGUAACCCUUCAAGCGCCACCACAGGGACCACUAUCCCCGAGACUCGUGAGUCCUGUGUUCAUCCAUGGCCUUUCAAGCACGCCACAGCAGCUUCGAAGAAUGCAUGGUGUAAGACCCGAUGGUGCUGGGGCAGGGCAGAGCACGUCUACCAUCUCUCAAGGAUCACUCGGAACGAGGAUCGCACUCGCACCCCUGAGCCUACCAAAGUUCUCUGGGGACAGGAGGAACUACUGGCGCUGGAAGAGUAACUGGGGAACCCUCCAAGCAUUAGCGGAA
Long non-coding RNA from Oreochromis aureus, 1649 nucleotides. The record is from Ensembl. NCBI's taxonomy places the organism in Eukaryota, Metazoa, Chordata, Actinopteri, Cichliformes, Cichlidae.